CAGCCGCCACGGGAAUGCGUAGGUGGCAAGCGUUGUCCGGAAUUAUUGGGCGUAAAGCGCGCGCAGGUGGUUUAAUAAGUCUGAUGUGAAAGCCCACGGCUCAACCGUGGAGGGUCAUUGGAAACUGUUAAACUUGAGUGCAGGAGAGAAAAGUGGAAUUCCUAGUGUAGCGGUGAAAUGCGUAGAGAUUAGGAGGAACACCAGUGGCGAAGGCGGCUUUUUGGCCUGUAACUGACACUGAGGCGCGAAAGCGUGGGGAGCAAACAGGAUUAGAUACCCCAGUAGUCCCUGUCUCUUAUAC
RNAcentral lists this ribosomal RNA (301 nucleotides) under uncultured bacterium. RNAcentral describes it as "partial 16S ribosomal RNA". It matches the Rfam family "Bacterial small subunit ribosomal RNA", at positions 509 to 807 of the family's 1533-position model. The record is from RNAcentral.